This 503-nucleotide ribosomal RNA is filed under the name uncultured bacterium. RNAcentral's name for it is "partial 16S ribosomal RNA". It matches the Rfam family "Bacterial small subunit ribosomal RNA", at positions 30 to 523 of the family's 1533-position model. The record is from RNAcentral.
AUUGAACGCUGGCGGCAGGCUUAACACAUGCAAGUCGAGCGGGGUGAUGGUGCUUGCACUAUCACUUAGCGGCGGACGGGCGAGUAAUGCUUAGGAAUCUGCCUAUUAGUGGGGGACAACAUCUCGAAAGGGAUGCUAAUACCGCAUACGUCCUACGAGAGAAAGCAGGGGAUCACUUGUGACCUUGCGCUAAUAGAUGAGCCUAAGUCGGAUUAGCUAGUUGGUGGGGUAAAGGCCUACCAAGGCGACGAUCUGUAGCGGGUCUGAGAGGAUGAUCCGCCACACUGGGACUGAGACACGGCCCAGACUCCUACGGGAGGCAGCAGUGGGGAAUAUUGGACAAUGGGGGGAACCCUGAUCCAGCCAUGCCGCGUGUGUGAAGAAGGCCUUAUGGUUGUAAAGCACUUUAAGCGAGGAGGAGGCUCUUUUGGUUAAUACCCAAGAUGAGUGGACGUUACUCGCAGAAUAAGCACCGGCUAACUACGUGCCAGCCGCCGCGGUAA